GAGGAACGCUGGCGGCGUGCCUAAUACAUGCAAGUCGAGCGCGGGAAGCUUGCGGAAUCUUUCGGGAGGAAGUGAGCGGACCGAGCGGCGGACGGGUGAGUAACACGUGGGCAACCUGCCCGUAAGACGGGGAUAACCCCGGGAAACCGGGGCUAAUACCGGAUAGGUGACCUUUCUGCAUGGAGGGGUCAUGAAAGGCGGCGGAAGCCGUCGCUUACGGAGGGGCCCGCGGCGCAUUAGCUAGUUGGUGAGGGAAAGGGUUCACCAAGGCGACGAUGCGUAGCCGGCCUGAGAGGGUGAACGGCCACACUGGGACUGAGACACGGCCCAGACUCCUACGGGAGGCAGCAGUAGGGAAUCUUCCGCAAUGGACGGAAGUCUGACGGAGCAACGCCGCGUGAGUGAGGAAGGCCUUCGGGUCGUAAAGCUCUGUUGUUCGUGAAGAAGGGGUUGGCCAGGAAAUGGGCCGACAUUGACGGUAGCGAACCAGAAAGCCCCGGCUAACUACGUGCCAGCAGCCGCGGUAACACGUAGGGGGCAAGCGUUGUCCGGAAUGAUUGGGCGUAAAGGGCGCGCAGGCGGCCUCUUAAGUCUGAUGUGAAAGCCCACGGCUCAACCGUGGAGGGACAUUGGAAACUGGGGGGCUUGAGUGCAGGAGAGGGGAGUGGAAUUCCACGUGUAGCGGUGAAAUGCGUAGAGAUGUGGAGGAACACCAGUGGCGAAGGCGGCUCUCUGGCCUGUGACUGACGCUGAGGCGCGAAAGCGUGGGGAGCGAACAGGAUCCGAUACCCUGGUAGUCCACG
RNAcentral lists this ribosomal RNA (803 nucleotides) under uncultured organism. Its description in RNAcentral is "SSU rRNA". It matches the Rfam family "Bacterial small subunit ribosomal RNA", at positions 28 to 799 of the family's 1533-position model. The record is from RNAcentral.